UACGUAGGGGGCAAGCGUUGUCCGGAAUCACUGGGCGUAAAGCGCGCGCAGGCGGUCAUCUACGUCUGGGGUGAAAGCCCGGAGCUCAACUCCGGGAUUGCCUUGGAUACGGGAUGACUUGAGGAUCGGAGAGGCAAGGGGAAUUCCACGUGUAGCGGUGAAAUGCGCAGAUAUCGGGAGGAACACCGGUGGCGAAGGCGGUUCUCUGGGCCUUACCUGACGCUGAGGAGCGAAAGCGUGGGGAGCGAACAGG
This 253-nucleotide ribosomal RNA is filed under the name uncultured bacterium. RNAcentral describes it as "partial 16S ribosomal RNA". It matches the Rfam family "Bacterial small subunit ribosomal RNA", at positions 524 to 776 of the family's 1533-position model. The record is from RNAcentral.